GACGAACGCUGGCGGCGUGCUUAACACAUGCAAGUCGAACGGUGAAGGGAUCAGCUUGCUGGUUCUGGAUGAGUGGCGAACGGGUGAGUAACACGUGAGUAACCUGCCCCCUUCUUAUGGAUAACCGCAUGAAAGUGUGGCUAAUACGGGAUAUUCUGCGCCUGCUGCAUGGUGGGUGUGGGAAUGAUUUUGUUUCGGUGGGGGUUGGGCUCGCGGCCUAUCAGCUUGUUGGUGGGGUGAUGGCAUCCCACGGCGGUGCCGGUUAUCCGGCCUGAGUGGGGGGACGGCCACACUGGGACUGAGACACUGCCCAGACUCCUACGGGAGGCAGCAGUGUGGAAUACUGCACAAUGGGCGCAAGCCUGAUGCAGCGACGCCGCGUGAGGGAUGCAGGCCUUCGUGUUGUGAACCUCUUUCGCCAGUGAAGCAGGCCUGUCCCUUGUGGGUGGGUUGACGUUAGCUGGAUAAGAAGCGCCGGCUAACUACGUG
RNAcentral lists this ribosomal RNA (489 nucleotides) under uncultured bacterium. Its description in RNAcentral is "partial 16S ribosomal RNA". It matches the Rfam family "Bacterial small subunit ribosomal RNA", at positions 28 to 507 of the family's 1533-position model. The record is from RNAcentral.